This 885-nucleotide ribosomal RNA is filed under the name uncultured bacterium. RNAcentral's name for it is "bacterial SSU rRNA". It matches the Rfam family "Bacterial small subunit ribosomal RNA", at positions 28 to 897 of the family's 1533-position model. The record is from RNAcentral.
AAUGAACGCUGGCGGCGUGCCUAACACAUGCAAGUCGUACGAGAAAGGGGCUUCGGCCCUGAGUAGAGUGGCGCACGGGUGAGUAACGCGUGGGUAAUCUCCCCUUGGAUUUGGGAUAACUCUGCGAAAGUGGAGCUAAUACCGGAUGGUCUGGCUUUAAACAAUAAGUCGGUAAAGGAUGCCUCUGCAUAUGCAUUCGUCUAAGGAUGAGCACGCGUCUCAUUAGCUAGUUGGUAGGGUAAUGGCCUACCAAGGCAACGAUGAGUAGCUGGUCUGAGAGGAUGAUCAGCCACACUGGAACUGAAACACGGUCCAGACUCCUACGGGAGGCAGCAGUGGGGAAUAUUGCGCAAUGGGCGAAAGCCUGACGCAGCAACGCCGUGUGAGGGAUGAAGGCUUUCGGGUCGUAAACCUCUGUCGGAAGGGAAGAACGGGCAUUGGUCUAAUAGGCCUUUGUUUUGACGGUACCUUUAGAGGAAGCACCGGCUAACUCCGUGCCAGCAGCCGCGGUAAUACGGAGGGUGCAAGCGUUAUUCGGAAUUACUGGGCGUAAAGCGCACGUAGGCGGCCUUGUAAGUCAGGGGUGAAAUCCCACGGCUCAACCGUGGAACUGCCUUUGAAACUGCAGGGCUUGAAUCCUGGAGAGGGUGGCGGAAUUCCUGGUGUAGGAGUGAAAUCCGUAGAUAUCAGGAGGAACACCGGUGGCGAAGGCGGCCACCUGGACAGGUAUUGACGCUGAGGUGCGAAAGUGUGGGGAGCAAACAGGAUUAGAUACCCUGGUAGUCCACACCGUAAACGAUGGAUACUAGGUGUCGGGGACUUGAUCUUCGGUGCCGUAGCUAACGCGUUAAGUAUCCCGCCUGGGGAGUACGGUCGCAAGGCUGA